GGAGAAGACUCGUAAGAAAGGCCCAGCCUUUUACCUGUUCUUUCUUCUCUCUCUCUAUCUCUUUCUCUGUCCCGCUCUCUGUCUUUCAAGAUCUCACUGAAGAAUCUUUCAAUCACAGUUAAAGUAAAUUCUUUCUUCCAAGAUUUCACACACAGAAACCAAAAAUGGCGUUAUCUGUUCAGAAUCUGAUCAAAGAAAAGAAGUUCUUUUUCAUUUUCGCUUUCUUUGUCUUGCUCAUCUGCACCACUUUCCUUUUGUACACAAAUGACACUCGUUUCUCUUCCUUAUCCUUCUCUGAUCUCCAAAAACAAUCCAACCCAUCUUCUUCCCAGUCAUUCUCUCCACCCCCAAUUGCCAUCCCAUCCCCUCCACCGCCUCUUGCCACCGUUUCGCCACCCACCACUGUCAUUACUACCGCCGACAGCAAUGAUGAUGCUAGUGGGAAUGGAAAUGGAAAUGGGAAUGAUGAAGAUAGUUCGGUUCUUGUUGGUGGCGAUUUGGGUGGGAUUGAGAAGAUACAGUGGGAGCUCUGUAAGGGGACCGUGGCAGUGGAUUAUAUACCGUGUUUAGAUAAUUCUAACGCCAUAAAAGAACUGCAAUCGAGGAGGCAUAUGGAGCAUAGAGAGAGGCAUUGCCCCAAGCCAAAUCCAAGAUGUUUGCCUCCGCUUCCUAAAGGAUAUAAGGUGCCCCUUCUGUGGCCUAAGAGCAGGGACAUGAUUUGGUAUGAUAAUGUCCCUCACCCUAAGCUUGUUGAAUACAAGAAAGAUCAAAACUGGGUGCGCAAGGAGGGUGAUUUUCUUGUUUUCCCAGGAGGUGGUACUCAAUUCAAGGAUGGAGUUACUAACUACAUCAAUUUCAUUGAAAAGACUUUGCCAAUUAUCCAAUGGGGAAGGCGCACAAGGGUAGUUUUAGAUGUCGGUUGUGGAGUUGCUAGCUUUGGUGGCUAUUUGCUGGACAAAAAUGUUAUCACCAUGUCAUUUGCUCCAAAGGAUGAACAUGAAGCUCAGAUACAGUUUGCUCUAGAGCGAGGAAUUCCUGCUACAUUAUCUGUCAUUGGGACAAAAAAAGCUGACAUACCCUGAUAAUGCAUUUGAUCUGAUUCAUUGUGCACGAUGCAGGGUUCAUUGGGAUGCAGAUGGUGGAAAACCACUAAUGGAGCUCAACAGGAUACUGAGGCCUGGAGGUUUCUUUGUAUGGUCUGCUACACCAGUAUACCGUGAUGAUGAAAGAGAUCGCAAUGUUUGGAAUUGUGAGCUGAUAUUCUUUCUUUUUUCAUGCGUGCAAGUCUGUUGCCUUGGACAACCCCUCCUCCCUUUUCUUCUCAUAACCCUUUAAAUUCAUUGUCUUCAAUUGACUUGUGCUCACUAUUGGAUUGGAUGGUUUGUGUUAUGAUUUCUUUCUCUCUCUUUUUUUUUUUCUGUUGUUUGCAAAUAUCAUUAGGAGAAUUUAAGUGAAGGGGUGAUUGUGUUGAAAGAUGUUCUAAGUUGGAUGAUUAUCUUCUAUGUUUUGUGCAGCUAUGGUGGCUUUGACAAAUUCUAUGUGCUGGAAGAAUGUGGCUAAGACUAUGGAUUCAUCAGGAAUUGGGCUUGUAAUCUAUCAGAAACCUGACUCAUCUUCAUGCUAUGACAAUCGCAAAGAACAAGAUCCUCCUUUUUGUGAUCAGAAUGAUUCACAAAAUGUUCCAUGGUAUGCACCUCUCACGAGAUGCCUUUCAAGACUUCCAGUGGAUACCAAAGGUAACUUGGUCAGCUGGCCUGCACGAUGGCCUUAUAGGCUUAACAGUUUGCCUCCAAGGCUGUCAACUGAGCCGGAUUCUGGAGAUACGUUUUACGAGGACACCAGACAUUGGUCAGUGCUUGUAUCUGAUGUUUAUCUGAAUGCAGAUGCUAUAAACUGGUCAAGUGUGCGGAAUAUAAUGGAUAUGAAUGCUGGCUAUGGAGGGUAAGAAUUAUUUAGUUUGAUAAUUAUAUAGGGUCACACUUCCUAGGCAGCGAAGGAAUAUGUUAUUAUUAUUAAGCUUUCUUAAUGUGCAUCAAUAUAUUGGAAACUACAAAUUAAAGUUACUUUAUUACCUGCAGUUUUUUCAGGGAUGCUUUUGUUUCUUCUAUCAUUUCAUUGAUUAGUUAUUUGUCGAUGAUGAUGGGUUAUAAAAGUUUAGAAACACUUAUCACAUGUGAAAUUCAGCAGCCACAGUAGUUCCAGUGGCUUUUGGUGCUCAAUUGCUCUGUAAAUAUUUCUUGGACUGCUUUAAUAUUUUUCUUUUUACAGAUUUGCAGCAGCACUAGUUGAUCUUCCUUACUGGGUGAUGAAUGUUAUCCCCUUUGACACAGAAGAUACUCUGUCCAUUAUUUUCGACAGAGGGCUAAUCGGAAUUUAUCACGACUGGUGUGAAUCACUUAGUACCUAUCCUCGAACAUAUGAUGUAUUGCAUUCCAGCUUCCUCUUCAAAACUCUAACACAAAGGUGCGACCUCAUAGAUGUAGCUGCGGAGAUGGAUCGGAUAGUGAGACCUGGCGGAUAUGUUUUGAUUCAAGAUACCAUGGAAAUGAUUCACAAGCUUAGUUCGAUAUUAGGUUCUCUUCAUUGGUCUACCAGUCUCUAUCAGAAACAAUUUCUCAUUGGUAGGAAAGGUUUCUGGCGUCCUGGCUGACAGCUAAAACAAAGCAUAGAAAACCUGCUAUUUGCACUUGCAAUUUCACAUUUGAAGUUUGGUAAGUGUAGAAAAAGUAAAAGGCAAGAACAGAAAGCAGAAAGUGAUUCUUAUUGCAUGACUUUGGCUGAGAAUUCUAAAUCUUAGUCUAUUCUUUCUUCUUCCCUCAUAUUAUUACUUGUUAUAGUGUAAAAUCUUACAAACAUGUUAAUGAGGCAUUUAUGCAUGGCUUGACUAGUUGUAUGCUUCUUCUUCUUACCUACAUUAUAAUUCAGCUUAAUUUAUAACUAGUUAUUACUUGUUUCA
RNAcentral lists this unclassified non-coding RNA (2956 nucleotides) under Hevea brasiliensis (rubber tree). Lineage: Eukaryota; Viridiplantae; Streptophyta; Magnoliopsida; Malpighiales; Euphorbiaceae. The record is from RNAcentral.